UACGUAGGGUGCAAGCGUUGUCCGGAAUUAUUGGGCGUAAAGAGCUCGUAGGCGGCUUGUCGCGUCGGCUGUGAAAACCUGCAGCUUAACUGUGGGCUUGCGGUCGAUACGGGCAUCACUGGAGUUCGGCAGGGGAGACUGGAAUUCCUGGUGUAGCGGUGAAAUGCGCAGAUAUCAGGAGGAACACCGGUGGCGAAGGCGGGUCUCUGGGCCGAUACUGACGCUGAGGAGCGAAAGCGUGGGGAGCGAACAGG
This 254-nucleotide ribosomal RNA is filed under the name uncultured bacterium. RNAcentral describes it as "partial 16S ribosomal RNA". It matches the Rfam family "Bacterial small subunit ribosomal RNA", at positions 524 to 776 of the family's 1533-position model. The record is from RNAcentral.